Myotis brandtii (Brandt's bat) is the source of this 76-nucleotide non-coding RNA. NCBI's taxonomy places the organism in Eukaryota, Metazoa, Chordata, Mammalia, Chiroptera, Vespertilionidae. The record is from Rfam.
GGUGGUCCUUGGGUGACACACCCGGGAACCAGAGAGGAGAGAGCCCGAUUCCAGGGUGCGUCACCUGAGAACCGCC